AAGUCAGAUGUGAAAGACCCGGGGCUCAACCUCGGAAUAGCAUUUGAAACUGGCAGACUAGAGUACUGUAGAGGGGGGUAGGAAUUUCAGGUGUAGCGGUGAAAUGCGUAGAGAUCUGAAGGAAUACCGGUGGCGAAGGCGGCCCCCUCGGACAGAUACUGACACUCAGAUGCGAAAGCGUGGGGAGCAAACAGGAUUAGAUACCCUGGUAG
Molecule: ribosomal RNA, 212 nt
Filed under: uncultured bacterium
Lineage: Bacteria
Description: partial 16S ribosomal RNA
Rfam family: Bacterial small subunit ribosomal RNA
Source: RNAcentral